Molecule: ribosomal RNA, 253 nt
Filed under: uncultured bacterium
Lineage: Bacteria
Description: partial 16S ribosomal RNA
Rfam family: Bacterial small subunit ribosomal RNA
Source: RNAcentral
GACAGAGGCCUCGAGCGUUAGGCGGAAUCACUGGGCUUAAAGCGUGUGUAGGCGGGCCCGUAAGGGUCUUGUGAAAUCCCACGGCUCAACCGUGGAACUGCUGGGCAUACUGCGGGUCUUGGGCCAACUAGGGGCAGCCGGAACAAGCGGUGGAGCGGUGAAAUGCGUAGAUAUCGUUUGGAACGCCAAUGGUGAAAACAGGUCGCUGGGGAUGAGCUGACGCUGAGACACGAAAGCCAGGGGAGCAAACGGG